ACUAUAUUUUGGAGUGAUGUUCUAUAUAUAAUGAUAACAACGAUAAUAUGUACUAAAUAAUAAUUACAACAAGAUUAUUUGCACAGAGUUAUUCCCGAACUUCGUAAGACGUUUCAACUUCAUUACUAUAACAAGUAAAAUAUUGCCUACCUAACUUUGAUUAAAUUCUGUGAAAACGGAUGAGAAAUGACAGCCAAUUGUUCGCUUGGAUAAUAUUAUUUUUUUUAUAUUACACGUCCUAUUAUUAUAGUUGCACCCUUAUGACGCAAUUUAUUUAUAAUGAUAAAAGUUAACAAUAACAGUAAUAAUCAUAAAAAAGUUUAAAAACUAUAGACAUUUAAUAAUAAGAAAAUUCAAUCAAUUCUGUUCGCUUUCAGUGAAAAUGUAAAGUGUAUAGUAAUUUUUUUAUGUUUUUUUUUUUUUUUUAAAGUGAUCUUUUAAAUUCAAUAGUUUAAAUAUUUACGUACCGAUUCGGCAGAAACUUUACACAUUUGUGUACACUGUAACGAAAUUGCAAUUUCAAUGUACAGCGCAAAUAAAAGGAGCUGAUAUCGGAUUAUUAACUCUCGCACAUUUUUGAAGUAUCUAAUCUGUAUAUAAAAACAAAAUGUAUAGUAUGAACCUACAUAGUAUAUGGAUAAAAAGCAUACUAUAAAUGUAUAUACAUAACGCAGAUAUCUUUAUGCAAAUGUGUAAAAUACUUCUGUUGGGCGGUGUUUGUUUUUCGUGCUCCCCGGGGGUCCUUUGCGGAUGUCAUCAUUUCAAUGCUUUUUUAUUUUUUUUAGUUUUCACGCUCGGUAGCGACAGAUAGUGCACAAAGUAAGCGUUCAACUAAGUCACACACACUUAAUUCACUUAUUUGCCGUGUACAGUCAACAUAAAAAUAAAAUUACUCGAAAUUCUCUGCGUAGGUACCUACAAAUGCACACAGCAGACAGCCUCGACAGGUCACAUCCCAUUCCUUUAUACGUGCUUAUUAUUAUUAUUAUUUUACCUCUAAACUUGAAAUUUUACAUAACUGAAUGGAGUAUAUAGUUUAAUUAACUUUUUUUUUCUUUUUUUACAAUUAAUUUUUUCUUAACUUCUUUAUAACUACAGCGCCAGACAAUAGAAAUAUACCUAUCAUGUUGAUCAUACCGUGCGCGGUUUCCUUUGUGCUGUCGUCACGCCUAUUAUCACGAGAUCGGCAAGAACAGCACCCGUUAUUUUAUUCAGGUUUUGUUUAAAUAAUAUACAAUAUUAUGUGUACCUAUAACUUAUUGUUUAUAUAACCUGUUGCGGCCGUCUGACAACCCCGUCCAUGGGCAGGCUGCACAUGUGGGUUUGUUGCGGCGUUCAAAUGAGAAUUAUUUGCCAGACAACCGGUGCAUGUUCGUUAAGGACGAUAUACCUACCUAUAUACCGUCAACUGAUGCAGAAAUAAUUUGUUGGCAAACCACGAGAAUACCUAUUAACAUUGGAAAAUUGUAUGCAGCUAAAAGAUUACAGAAUAAGUAGUAUUAAGAAAACCAAUUACCUACUCACUUGAA
Long non-coding RNA from Acyrthosiphon pisum (pea aphid), 1529 nucleotides. RefSeq lists it as uncharacterized. Lineage: Eukaryota; Metazoa; Arthropoda; Insecta; Hemiptera; Aphididae. The record is from RefSeq and is a predicted model, not a curated record. The transcript has 2 exons.